GUGCUUGUUCUUACACUAUUCAGGAUUGGGAAUAUUUCAUGCAACAGAUCAAAAGAUUAAUAAAGAUGCUUAUGAAUGGCUGAUGAGAGAACCUCCAAAUGUGUGGACUAGAUCUAUGUUUAGCCCUAUACGUAAGUGUGAGAUGUUGGCAAACAAUAUGUCAGAGUCCUUUAAUCAAUACAUAAAGGAAGCAAGGGACAAACCCAUAAUAACAAUGCUGGAAAUGAUUAGAAGGCAACUGAUGUAACAAAAGAAGUUGGAUUGAAACAUGCAAUGGAAGCAUUUGUCCAAAGAUUCAAAAGACUUUAGAGGAGCUGAAGAGUGAUGCUAGGUCAUGGGAGGCUACUUGUGCUGGAAAUUCAAUUUUUGAGGUGAGCAAUGGUGUAAGGACAUUUGUUGUUGACUUGGCAAGGCAAAGCUGCAUUUGUAGGAAAUGGGACAUUACUGGUAUACCAUGCCCACAUGGGAUUGCUGCUAUCAUAAAAGACAAGAGGCAACCAGAGUCUUUUGUCCAUCCAUUCUUCCACAAGGAGACAUAUAUGAGCUCAUAUGCUGCCAUUAUUAACCCUAUCCCUGAUCAAACCCAAUGGGUCCACACUGAAUCGGAUGCAAUUAUGGCCCCCUCCUUAAGAAGGCCACCUGGUAGGCCCAAGAAAGCUAGAAGAAAGGGAGUUGACGAGGAAAAAAAUCCACACUUGGCCAGAAGGACCCAUCAGUCCUUAAAGUGUAGUAAUUGCAACCAAUAUGGGCAUAAUACAAGAACUUGCAAGGGGCCUAUUGCAGCAAAGAAACCAAAAGCUGUUGUAAUUAGUGGUGAGGCAAGCUGAGGAAGAGGUAGGGCUGCAACUAGUGCUGAAUCAAGCAGAGGAAGAGGUAGGGGAGAUUCUGCAAGAGGAAGAGCAAGCGGAAGAGGAAGAAGCCAAGCAAGGGGAAGGGGGCGAAGCCAAGCAAGGGGAAGGGGGAGAAACUAAGGACCAACACCUACUCAAGAGAGUUCAAUGAUCACAUAUGAGCACACAAGGCCUACAACUGAAGUUGAUUCUGCAAUGCCGGAGUGGGAAGCUCAAGAGGUGGUGCUAUUGUCCAAAUUAGCCACUCACAAAGCUUGUCAAACAUGGCACCAACACAAGGUUCUCAGGUCCCCACAUCUGCACACAACUCAGGAAUGGCACUUGAUGGAUAUGCAGCCUUUUAGAAGUCAGUCGAAAAGUUCAUGGAGCUGGUAGUUUUAGUUUGGCAUUACUUUUGGAAUAUGCACCUGUUGGUUUUGCUUCUAAUUAAGUACUUUGGCUAGUUAAUUGCUAUCUAAGUUUGUGGA
This is a long non-coding RNA of Rhododendron vialii, 1318 nucleotides long. RefSeq lists it as uncharacterized. The transcript has 3 exons. The record is from RefSeq and is a predicted model, not a curated record. Lineage: Eukaryota; Viridiplantae; Streptophyta; Magnoliopsida; Ericales; Ericaceae.